AAACUGGACUCCGGCGUCGUGAAGAGACUCUACACGCUGGACGGAAAACAGUUGACGAGUCUGCAGGAUUUCUUCGGUGAUGACGAUGUUUUCAUGGCGUGCGGUUUGGAGAAGUUUCGUUACGCUCAGGACGACGCUGCUGUCGGACACGCGGGGAAGAGCGCCGCGGCUGCGUUCGUUAACGAGUGUAAGAAAUCACGACCGUCAGUCCCUCCCAAGACAACUGCAUACAAAAGCUCCGGCGUCCCGCGCUCCAAAUCACCUG
Molecule: long non-coding RNA, 265 nt
Organism: Sinocyclocheilus rhinocerous
Lineage: Eukaryota; Metazoa; Chordata; Actinopteri; Cypriniformes; Cyprinidae
Exons: 3
Source: RefSeq, a predicted model, not a curated record